This 119-nucleotide ribosomal RNA is filed under the name Hymenobacter sp. RNAcentral describes it as "partial 16S ribosomal RNA". It matches the Rfam family "Bacterial small subunit ribosomal RNA", at positions 1413 to 1533 of the family's 1533-position model. The record is from RNAcentral. Lineage: Bacteria; Pseudomonadati; Bacteroidota; Cytophagia; Cytophagales; Hymenobacteraceae.
GGGGGGACCUGAAGUCGGUAACCGCAAGGAGCCGCCUAGGGUAAGACCGGUAACUGGGGCUAAGUCGUAACAAGGUAGCCGUAUCGGAAGGUGCGGCUGGAAUACCUCCUUUUUAGAGC